UGCGGAGGGUGCAAGCGUUAUCCGGAUUCACUGGGUUUAAAGGGUGCGUAGGCGGGCAGAUAAGUCAGUGGUGAAAUCUCCGAGCUUAACUCGGAAACUGCCGUUGAUACUAUUUGUCUUGAAUACUGUGGAGGUAAGCGGAAUAUGUCAUGUAGCUGUGAAAUGCUUAGAUAUGACAUAGAACACCAAUUGCGAAGGCAGCUUACUACACAGCGAUUGACGCUGAGGCACGAAAGCGUGUGGAUCAAACAUG
This 253-nucleotide ribosomal RNA is filed under the name uncultured bacterium. RNAcentral's name for it is "partial 16S ribosomal RNA". It matches the Rfam family "Bacterial small subunit ribosomal RNA", at positions 524 to 776 of the family's 1533-position model. The record is from RNAcentral.